CGUGUGUGUGUGUGUGUGUGUGUGCACGCUUGUGGAGUUUAACUCCGAAAAGACAGGUAACCACAGGUUCCCGUUGAUCUUAUGAUGGACAUGCGAGGUGAUAUUUAACCAAAUGGUUCAUCAACGGCGAAAUAAAAGCCUCUUAUUUACGAGACCGGUCUGAGAAA
Molecule: long non-coding RNA, 167 nt
Organism: Etheostoma spectabile (orangethroat darter)
Lineage: Eukaryota; Metazoa; Chordata; Actinopteri; Perciformes; Percidae
Exons: 3
Source: RefSeq, a predicted model, not a curated record